RNAcentral lists this ribosomal RNA (470 nucleotides) under uncultured Helotiales. RNAcentral describes it as "eukaryotic LSU rRNA". The stretch from base 120 to 273 matches the Rfam family "5.8S ribosomal RNA". The record is from RNAcentral. Lineage: Eukaryota; Fungi; Ascomycota; Leotiomycetes; Helotiales.
GUCUACCUUACCUUUGUUGCUUUGGCGGGCCGCCUUCGGGCGUCGGCUCCGGCUGACAGCGCCCGCCAGAGGACCCAACUCUUUUGUUUAGUGAUGUCUGAGUACUAUAUAAUAGUUAAAACUUUCGACAACGGAUCUCUUGGUUCUGGCAUCGAUGAAGAACGCAGCGAAAUGCGAUAAGUAAUGUGAAUUGCAGAAUUCAGUGAAUCAUCGAAUCUUUGAACGCACAUUGCGCACCUUGGUAUUCCGAGGGGCAUGCCUGUUCGAGCGUCAUUAUGACCACUCAAGCCUAGCUUGGUAUUGGGGUUCGCGGUUGCGCGGCCUCUAAACUCAGUGGCGGUGCCGUCUGGCUCUAAGCGUAGUAAUUUCUCCUCGCUACAGAGUCCGGGCGGCAGCUUGCCAAAACCCCAACUUCUCACGGUUGACCUCGGAUCAGGUAGGGAUACCCGCUGAACUUAAGCAUAUCAAUA